RNAcentral lists this long non-coding RNA (317 nucleotides) under Mytilus galloprovincialis (Mediterranean mussel). Lineage: Eukaryota; Metazoa; Mollusca; Bivalvia; Mytilida; Mytilidae. The record is from RNAcentral.
UGUGUGUGUUACAUUUUAACGUUGCGUCGUUUGUUUUCUCUUAUUUUUUAGUGUAAUUUCACAUUGCGAUAAGACGUGUCACGGUACUUGUCUAUCCCAAAUUCAUGUAUUUGGUUUUGAUGUUAUAUUUGUUAUUCUCGUGGGAUUUUGUCUGAUGCUUGGUCCGUUUCUGUGUGUGUUACAUUUUAGUGUUGUGUCGUUGUUCUCCUCUCUUAUAUUAAUGCGUUUCCCUCGGUUUUAGUUUGUUACCCCGAUUUUGUUUUUUGUCCAUGAAUUUAUGAGUUUUGAACAGAGGUAUACUACUGUUGCCUUUAUUU